GCGCUGAAAGCAUCUAAGCGCGAAGCCUGUUCCAAGAUGAGAUCUCCUUCAAGGGCCGUUGGAGACUACGACGUUGAUAGGCCGCAGGUGUAAAGGCAGCAAUGCCAAAGCCGAGCGGUACUAAUUGCCCGAAGACUUACAGAU
Molecule: ribosomal RNA, 144 nt
Filed under: Salinivirgaceae bacterium
Lineage: Bacteria; Pseudomonadati; Bacteroidota; Bacteroidia; Bacteroidales; Salinivirgaceae
Description: partial 23S ribosomal RNA
Rfam family: Bacterial large subunit ribosomal RNA
Source: RNAcentral